RNAcentral lists this ribosomal RNA (407 nucleotides) under uncultured bacterium. RNAcentral's name for it is "partial 16S ribosomal RNA". It matches the Rfam family "Bacterial small subunit ribosomal RNA", at positions 28 to 526 of the family's 1533-position model. The record is from RNAcentral.
GACGAACGCUGGCGGCGUGCCUAAUCCAUGCCAGUAGGACGCAGUUGCGAACGGGUUAGUAACGCGUAGGUAACUACCUAUUAGAGGGGGAUAACUAUUGGAAACGAUAGCUAAUACCGCAUACUAGUAGAUGGACCUGCGUUGUAUUAGCUUGUAGGUUGGGUAAUGGCCUACCUAGGCAACGAUACAUCGCCGACCGGGGAGGGUGAGCGGCCACACGGGGAAUGGGACACGGCCCAGACUCCUAUGGUAGGCAGCAGGAGGGAAUCUUCGGCAAUGGGGGGAACCCUGACCGAGCAACGCCGCGUGAGUGAAGAAGGUUUUCGGAUCGUAAAGCUCGGUUGUUAAGGAAGCGGUACUUAACCAGAAAGGGACGGCUAACUACGUGCCAGCAGCCGCGGUAAUAC